RNAcentral lists this ribosomal RNA (433 nucleotides) under uncultured bacterium. RNAcentral's name for it is "partial 16S ribosomal RNA". It matches the Rfam family "Bacterial small subunit ribosomal RNA", at positions 29 to 507 of the family's 1533-position model. The record is from RNAcentral.
AACGAACGCUGGCGGCAUGCCUAAUACAUGCAAGUCGAACGAGAUCUUCGGAUCUAGUGGCGCACGGGUGCGUAACGCGUGGGAAUCUGCCCUUGGGUUCGGAAUAACUUCUGGAAACGGAAGCUAAUACCGGAUGAUGACGUAAGUCCAAAGAUUUAUCGCCCAAGGAUGAGCCCGCGUAGGAUUAGGUAGUUGGUGAGGUAAAGGCUCACCAAGCCGACGAUCCUUAGCUGGUCUGAGAGGAUGAUCAGCCACACUGGGACUGAGACACGGCCCAGACUCCUACGGGAGGCAGCAGUAGGGAAUAUUGGACAAUGGGCGAGAGCCUGAUCCAGCAAUGCCGCGUGAGUGAUGAAGGCCUUAGGGUUGUAAAGCUCUUUUACCCGGGAUGAUAAUGACAGUACCGGGAGAAUAAGCUCCGGCUAACUCCGUG